Molecule: long non-coding RNA, 2261 nt
Organism: Poecilia latipinna (sailfin molly)
Lineage: Eukaryota; Metazoa; Chordata; Actinopteri; Cyprinodontiformes; Poeciliidae
Exons: 2
Source: RefSeq, a predicted model, not a curated record
AAACCACUGCGCAAAACAUUCCGAGUUACAAGAAUAUUUUUCUUGGUAAAGCCUGUUUGGAAAAUAGUGCUGCACUUUAAUUAGAAACAGAAGAUGAGAUUCCUUCAGCGUGUAUUCAGAGUUAACAAUACGGAAAGUAAGCAAAAGUACUGUUAAUUUUUUCUUCUUCUUUUUUUUUUUCCAUGAAAACAUGAAACUCAAUUUAUUCGUCAUGCUUAUCUAAUUCCGAGUUGAAAUUCCAUCGGUUUUGUUACAAACAGGUUUCUUGAUUUCUCUCCUCUUUCCACAGUGCGACUUGGCCCGUCAGAAGUGGCCGUCCGCCAGGACUCCUCUCAGCUCACCUCCCUGAAGAUUCCUGGCUCUACAGAAACAGGAAAGGGCGUCUGGAAAUUGGAUGAGAUGUUCGUUUAGCGGGCAGCUGGUCUGGGGCCGAUAUGAAUUGCGUUUCCCCACGCCAGGAAAGGUCAAGCCCCCUCGCCUUGACGGAGUGCAUCAGCCUAUUGAGUGGCGCUUUAGUCCAUUUACCAGCAACCAAUGGCACGACGGCGCAUGGGAGAGAGCGAGGCACAAAAACUCUGUGUAGUAAAGAGAAAAGAAUGACAACACGUCAGAUAUAAAUUCAUUGUUUCUCAUCACCCAGCUGGGGCAGGAAUGGCUGGGAGUGAUUGCUGGGGUGGGGGGAAGUGGGAGAGGAAUACUGCCAUCUGAGUGGGCUUUGCAUGUGUGAGAAAAGAGAUGAGCACCCCUCCUUUACCAGCAGUGACACAACAUUUGCCUUUGGUGCAAAUGUUUAAAACUAAAACAUGCAAAAAAAAAAUAGGUAAUUGUGGGAAUUUGGUUAAAAGAAUUAUUGAGCUUUUUUUUUUUACUAUCAUUUACCAAGUAACAGAGUGGUUCUCAAACCAUAAGGUUUUUAAAACUCCCCCCCUUUAUUGACACCUAUAACCUACAUAAAUGUACUAAAAAAAAAAACCUGAGAUGGUAAACCCUUGUUUUUAUGUCAUGUACUAACUGUAUAAUCUUAGAAAAAACAUGAAAAAAAUAAAAGAGGUGUAUGUGAAGAAGUGUAGUCAAUGUCAAGAAAGUUGAUAAGAAAUCCAUUAGCAGACAGUUCAGUUUUCUUCCUGGUGGAUUUUAUUCUUUGACAUUUUGUUUUUAUGACAUCAUCAAUCUCCCAGCAGCCAAAAUCUUACUGGUUUUACACAGAAUUGGAAACACCCUGGCAUUUCAUCAGUGUGUACCAUUAGAAAAUAAGUCAAACCACAUAACAAAAUCUUAACAAAGAAACAGCAAUAAGGUCAUUAAUUCACAAACUCAUUUACCUAAAUGGCAUGGUGCAAGUUAAAACAUUUAAUGCAAGGCAGCUGAACAGAUUACUUAAAAAAAAACAAUGCAAUACAAAAAGAAAACCCUUCACUUUGUUCUACCCAGUGAUGCAAUCAGUGACAUCAUGCACCAAUUUAAGCAGAAAAUGCUGGCCCGUCCCACACACCUGUUCUGGCUUUGUAAUCUAAAGGGACAAACAAUGGUGAGUAUAAAAGAAACAAACAAAAAGAAUUUGCCAAAAAUGUGCAUUGUAACAGAAUAAAUAUGCAAAUGGAUCAACGGUUCAGUAGUGUUACCUUUAAAAAGAAACAUGCACUGAUGCAAAGUGCAACGUAAUAUAGGUAAUUGAAGUGAAGUUAAAACAGCAAUGUUUAAACUAAAGUAACAUGAUCAACUAGAGAAGGAUGAGGGAAUAAAUAAAACAUGUCUAAGGGACAAGUGGUGAAUAAAUACUAACUUAACCACUUUGUGACUGCAAAAGCCUGCUUUGCUGCUUAAAUAUCCACCCUUAAGACUACUAUUAAUAAUCUGCUUUCUACUUUUGAUUUAACUUCAACACCUUGUCUUUAUUACACACAUCUAACAUUGAUUAUAGUGCAUCUGAUUAGCCUAAUUCAGCUGUCUAAGGGGAAAUGAAAUCAGCUCAUUUGCAGUAGGUCUUUUUGCCAACGCCAUGCAUCGAGGAGAAGCUUUAAAUUGUCUAAUCGUGCAGGUUUAUGAGCCAGGAGGAGAGUUUCACUGUGUACACACCAUACACAAACAAUGGGACAGGCUGCACAAUAUCAGAAAAUCAUGUAAUGGCAGCAUCAUGAGAAAAUAAAGUGAUGAUGAUCUCAGUUGCAAUUGAUGUAAGUUUUUCUUACUCCCGCCUUGUUCAUGUAUAUUUCCAACUCUGUUAGUGUUCGAAUCUGGGACUCUGUAAUCUGUGUCAGGCA